RNAcentral lists this ribosomal RNA (890 nucleotides) under uncultured bacterium. RNAcentral describes it as "bacterial SSU rRNA". It matches the Rfam family "Bacterial small subunit ribosomal RNA", at positions 28 to 917 of the family's 1533-position model. The record is from RNAcentral.
GAUGAACGCUGGCGGCGUGCCUAAUACAUGCAAGUCGAACGAAUCUCUUCGGAGAUGAGUGGCGAACGGGUGAGUAAUACAUAGGUAACCUGCCCCUGUGCGGGGGAUAACAGGAGGAAACUCCUGCUAAUACCGCAUAGCCAUGAGCACCGCAUGGAGCUCAUGCCAAAUAUCCUUUCGGGGAUAGCGCAGGGAUGGACCUAUGGCGCAUUAGCUUGUUGGCGGGGCAACGGCCCACCAAGGCAACGAUGCGUAGCCGGCCUGAGAGGGCGGACGGCCACAUUGGGACUGAGACACGGCCCAGACUCCUACGGGAGGCAGCAGUAGGGAAUUUUCGGCAAUGGGGGAAACCCUGACCGAGCAACGCCGCGUGAGCGAAGAAGGCCUUCGGGUCGUAAAGCUCUGUUGUAAAGGAAGAACGGCGCAUACAGGAAAUGGUAUGCGAGUGACGGUACUUUACCAGAAAGCCACGGCUAACUACGUGCCAGCAGCCGCGGUAAUACGUAGGUGGCGAGCGUUAUCCGGAAUCAUUGGGCGUAAAGAGGGAGCAGGCGGCCGCAAGGGUCUGUGGUGAAAGACCGAAGCUAAACUUCGGUAAGCCAUGGAAACCGGGCGGCUAGAGUGCGGAAGAGGAUCGUGGAAUUCCAUGUGUAGCGGUGAAAUGCGUAGAUAUAUGGAGGAACACCAGUGGCGAAGGCGACGGUCUGGGCCGCAACUGACGCUCAUUCCCGAAAGCGUGGGGAGCAAAUAGGAUUAGAUACCCUAGUAGUCCACGCCGUAAACGAUGGUCACUAAGUGUCGGGGGUCAAACCCCGGUGCUGCAGUCAACGCAAUAAGUGACCCGCCUGAGUAGUACGUUCGCAAGAAUGAAACUCAAAGGAAUUGACGGA